This 402-nucleotide ribosomal RNA is filed under the name uncultured Eubacteriales bacterium. RNAcentral describes it as "uncultured Clostridiales bacterium partial 16S ribosomal RNA". It matches the Rfam family "Bacterial small subunit ribosomal RNA", at positions 355 to 774 of the family's 1533-position model. Lineage: Bacteria; Bacillati; Bacillota; Clostridia; Eubacteriales. The record is from RNAcentral.
UGGGGAAUAUUGCACAAUGGGGGAAACCCUGAUGCAGCAACGCCGCGUGAGGGAAGAAGGUUUUCGGAUCGUAAACCUCUAUCGAUGGGGAAAAAGAUGAUGGUACCCAAGUAAGAAGCCCCGGCUAACUACGUGCCAGCAGCCGCGGUAAUACGUAGGGGGCAAGCGUUAUCCGGAAUUACUGGGUGUAAAGGGUGAGUAGGCGGUUUGGUAAGUCACAUGUGAAAAGCAACGGCUCAACCGAUGCACUGCAUGAGAAACUGUCAGACUAGAGUUAAGAAGAGGUAAGCGGAAUUCCUAGUGUAGCGGUGAAAUGCGUAGAUAUUAGGAAGAACACCGGUGGCGAAGGCGGCUUACUGGGCUUUAACUGACGCUGAGACACGAAAGCGUGGGGAGCAAACA